This 943-nucleotide ribosomal RNA is filed under the name Dematiohelicosporum guttulatum. Its description in RNAcentral is "LSU rRNA". It matches the Rfam family "Eukaryotic large subunit ribosomal RNA", at positions 75 to 938 of the family's 3401-position model. The record is from RNAcentral. Lineage: Eukaryota; Fungi; Ascomycota; Dothideomycetes; Tubeufiales; Tubeufiaceae.
UUGCCUCAGUAACGGCGAGUGAAGCGGCAACAGCUCAAAUUUGAAAUCUGGCUCUUUCAGGGUCCGAAUUGUAAUUUGUAGAGGAUGCUUCGGCUUACGCCCCGGUCUAAGUUCCUUGGAACAGGACGUCACAGAGGGUGAGAAUCCCGUUUGUGGCCGGCGGCUUCCGCCAUGUGAAGCUCCUUCGACGAGUCGAGUUGUUUGGGAAUGCAGCUCUAAAUGGGAGGUAUGUUUCUUCUAAAGCUAAAUACCGGCCAGAGACCGAUAGCGCACAAGUAGAGUGAUCGAAAGAUGAAAAGCACUUUGGAAAGAGAGUUAAAAAGUACGUGAAAUUGUUGAAAGGGAAGCGCUUGCAACCAGACUUGCCCGCGGUUGCUCAGCCGGUCCUUCGGCCGGUGCACUCUUCCGCGGUCAGGCCAGCAUCAGUUCGGGCGGUCGGACAAAGGCCUUAGGAAUGUAGCUCUCUUCGGGGAGUGUUAUAGCCUCUGGUGUAAUACGACCCGCCUGGACUGAGGUCCGCGCUUCGGCUAGGAUGCUGGCGUAAUGGUUGUAAGCGGCCCGUCUUGAAACACGGACCAAGGAGUCUAACAUCUAUGCGAGUGUUUGGGUGUCAAACCCGUGCGCGAAAUGAAAGUGAACGGAGGUGGGAACCUUUGGGUGCACCAUCGACCGAUCCUGAUGUCUUCGGAUGGAUUUGAGUAAGAGCAUAGCUGUUGGGACCCGAAAGGUGAGAAUUCAUUUUCCUUAAUAUCCAACCCCCCCCUUCUUUUAUUAUUAUUACCGUCAUGGCCAAAUAGAUAUGAAUGCUAACUUGUUUGGCUUUACAGAUGGUGAACUAUGCCUGAAUAGGGUGAAGCCAGAGGAAACUCUGGUGGAGGCUCGCAGCGGUUCUGACGUGCAAAUCGAUCGUCAAAUUUGGGUAUAGGGGCGAAAGACUAAUCGA